UGCCCUAGUAACGGCGAGUGAAGCGGCAACAGCUCAAAUUUGAAAUCUGGCUCUAGGGCCCGAGUUGUAAUUUGUAGAGGAUGCUUUUGGCACGGUGCCUUCUGAGUUCCCUGGAAUGGGACGCCAUAGAGGGUGAGAGCCCCGUAUAGUUGGACACCUAGCCUCUGUAAAGCUCCUUCGACGAGUCGAGUAGUUUGGGAAUGCUGCUCAAAAUGGGAGGUAAAUUUCUUCUAAAGCUAAAUACCGGCCAGAGACCGAUAGCGCACAAGUAGAGUGAUCGAAAGAUGAAAAGCACUUUGAAAAGAGGGUUAAAAAGUACGUGAAAUUGUUGAAAGGGAAGCGCUUGUGACCAGACUUGCGCCCGGUGAAUCAUCCAGCGUUCUCGCUGGUGCACUUUGCCGGGUUCAGGCCAGCAUCGGUUUCUCGUGGGGGAUAAAAGCGGUGGGAACGUGGCUCCCUCGGGAGUGUUAUAGCCCGCCGCAGAAUACCCCUCGGGGGACCGAGGAUCGCGCUCUGCAAGGAUGCUGGCGUAAUGGUCACCAGCGACCCGUCUUGAAACACGGACCAAGGAGUCGAGCAUUAGGGCGAGUGUUUGGGUGCAAAACCCGCACGCGUAAUGAAAGUGAACGUAGGUGAGAGCUUCGGCGCAUCAUCGACCGAUCCUGAUGUAUUCGGAUGGAUUUGAGUAAGAGCCUUAAUAUUCGGACCCGAAAGUUGAUGAACUAUGCCUGAAUAGGGUGAAGCCAGAGGAAACUCUGGUGGAGGCUCGCAGCGGUUCUGACGUGCAAAUCGAUCGUCAAAUUUGGGCAUGGGG
RNAcentral lists this ribosomal RNA (814 nucleotides) under Appendopyricularia juncicola. Its description in RNAcentral is "partial large subunit ribosomal RNA". It matches the Rfam family "Eukaryotic large subunit ribosomal RNA", at positions 76 to 922 of the family's 3401-position model. The record is from RNAcentral. Lineage: Eukaryota; Fungi; Ascomycota; Sordariomycetes; Barbatosphaeriales; Barbatosphaeriaceae.